CCAGCCCGGUCGAGGCCCCGCCGGGCCCCGGCGGCGGCUCCGCCCGCACCGGAAGGGCAGCGGAGCCGCCCCGGCCGAGGGGAGGGGACAGCGGGGCGGGCGGGCGGCUCUUCGCGGCGCUCCCCCCACGGCGGUACCUGCGCUGGAAGUCGGUCCGGAAGGGCGUCAGCGUGUCAGCGGCAGGGUGAACUCUGCGUUCCCACAUUCACACACACAGACGCAGCACCCACCCCGCAGCCAACAGCACCACCACCGCCCCCAAAAGUGAUUUGGCAUUAUCGUGAGCGCUGGAAUAAAUUUCUCGGCUGGCGUGCUCACAGACAGCUCAGCAAAACAAGACUCGGGGCAUCCGUGAGUUUAUCUCGUAAACACCCCUGUCUGUACAGCAAAAAUGUCUCUUUACCGGACGCAUAAACCAAAUCCUGAACAAAGUCCUGAGCUUGGCAGUCUUCCUGAUGCAGAUGAGAGAGGGGGCUUGCUUUAGGACAAGUCUUCAGCCCCUGAGGUCUUCAUGAGAAGAACAAUGAUGUUGCUGUUGCAGGAUUCUAAUUCCUCAGUCUGGGCUGCACAUGGUUAAAAUACUGAACAACUCUUAAAAUCCAUGGUUUCUCUUUUGCUCGUUGACCUAUGGACUCCUUCAGCUCUCUCCUCAGUAACUCCUGUGUUGUCAUCUGAUUCAACACGUGCACAAGGAAAACUUAAAGAAUGAGCUGAGUCAUUCUCUAAAUCGGGACCAUCCUCCUCUGAACACAAAACCUUCCUCUGCAGCACUUAAGGUAGGUCAUGUGGCAUUGAUAUGCUUAAGGAAUUUAAAGUUGCAAGGAAGAAAAUUGAGCCACAUGUCAAUGGAUGAGAUUGGCUUUAUGGUUUCUUCAUGAUCUCAUUGCAUGUUGGUGAAGGGACAGGACUGUGAAAUAUGAGAUGCAAGUAUCAUCAAAAUGUGUCCCUGGUAUUGCAAGGAGUUGCAGAAGGAGCCAUUCCUUUUCUGCAAAAUGAAACAUGAGCAUUCAUAACUGUAAAAACCAAAACCACUGCCAUUAUGUUUCCUGUUUUUCUAAUGUCCUUUCUAUAGCAUGAAGUAUAGAUAUUCCUAUUAACAAUUUAAAAAAAACCCAAAAAUAAAAUAAAAAAAAAUACAAGCCAUCACCUCUUGUCUCUGUUUUUCUUAAAUCUAGAAAUGUUUUGCAAAUUUAACUUAAAAUGUUAGUCAAGUGCCUUGCCCUGGUUUUUCAUUUUUAGAAUAAACUGAAGUAUUUCAACUUUCAGUGUCUAUCCUGCUUGCUCCCGUUUGUAUGUUAGGGAUCAAUUUUUCAGAAACAUCAAGACCUCUUUCAACACUGACACAGCAGGGAACUGAGGUGGGUUCUGUUGUGUUUCUGUAGCAAAUUAAAUUCAUUUUAUUACCUGUUCAAUACUCUGAAACAUGAAAACAAGUAUUUUUCUAAGUUUGAAUCAGGUACAUUGUGCCUUUCAGGUUAAUGUAUUUUAAGUACUGCUUUGAGUCAAGUUUGCACAUUAACUGAAUGAGGUUUGAUUGGUUGUAUUCUCUUCAUUCUUUUCAAGAAAAGUCUUUUGCAUUUUAUAUUAGCUCUGUCACUAAAAAGUAUAAAAUCUUCUCUGAUAACUUUCCAUUGUGUUAGAGAAGAUUCAACAAAGCCUUUAAUUUCUUUUGUCUUACGUUGUAAACAGGGAUAGUUAAGGGGGAAAACAAAAAGUCUUCCAAGGAUAUGGUAUCUGCCUGUAAAAAUAAUACUGUCGUUUAUGGUUAGAGAUAACAUGCAGAGGUUAUAGCUGUGUGAGCUAUUUAAAAAUCAAAAGCAGCACAGUCAGAGCAUAGUUGUGUUUCGAGGGGCAGUACAUACAAGUUGUCCCUCAGGAACAUAUCGUUCUAAAGUGUGACCAAAUAUAAUUAUUUCAUGUGGUGCCACAUAAUUGAGAUGACUUGGAAUUCCCCCUCUUGUAACACUUUUGAUCUAUCUGCUAAGUUUGACAGGGUAAGGUUAAAUCUCCUUCUGCUAUCAUGUAUUGGAAAAUACUUCUGAUACUAAGAAUAACUCAUUAAAGGUGGAUGGAAAGUCUCCUUUUCUAAUGUACAUAUUAAUUACCAUAACCCUCAGUGAAUUUAUCUUUGCUGGCAGAAUAUCAUACCUUGCUGCUGUAUCUAAGAAACUUGAGUUUCUUGUUGAUUAAAACUGUCACUUGCCUGGAAUAACUAGAUCCAAUAAAGUAAAAACAUGGGAAGUGGA
Molecule: long non-coding RNA, 2246 nt
Organism: Pseudopipra pipra
Lineage: Eukaryota; Metazoa; Chordata; Aves; Passeriformes; Pipridae
Exons: 5
Source: RefSeq, a predicted model, not a curated record